GGGGUCGGUGAAAUUCCGAACCGGCGGUAACGGAGCACGGACUCCGCGAGCCCGCGACCCGAUCGUUUCCAGCGAUCGGUUGACCCGGUGAGAAUCCGGGGCCGACGGUUAAAGUCCGGAUGGUAGUUGG
Molecule: non-coding RNA, 130 nt
Filed under: uncultured Stackebrandtia sp.
Lineage: Bacteria; Bacillati; Actinomycetota; Actinomycetes; Glycomycetales; Glycomycetaceae
Description: FMN riboswitch (RFN element)
Rfam family: FMN riboswitch aptamer (RFN element)
About the family: The RFN element is a highly conserved domain that is found frequently in the 5'-untranslated regions of prokaryotic mRNAs that encode for flavin mononucleotide (FMN) biosynthesis and transport proteins. This element is a metabolite-dependent riboswitch that directly binds FMN in the absence of proteins.
Source: RNAcentral